UUGGAGGGCAAGUCUGGUGCCAGCAGCCGCGGUAAUUCCAGCUCCAAUAGCGUAUAUUAAAGUUGUUGCAGUUAAAAAGCUCGUAGUUGAAUUUCGGAGUUUGUCGGUUGGUCGGGCUUCACUGUCCGCACUGGCCUGAUGGAUUCCUACCUUCUGAAUAACCAGCAUGCUAUUAAGUUAGUGCGUUGGGGAAGCAGAGCUAUUACCUUGAAAAAAUUAGAGUGCUUAAAGCAGGCUUACGCUUGAAUAGAUUAGCAUGGAAUAAUAAAAUAGGACGGCAUGGUUCUAUUUUGUUGGUUUCUAGGAUCACCGUAAUGAUUAAUAGGGAUAGUUGGGGGCAUUAGUACUCAAUUGUCAGAGGUGAAAUUCUUGGAUUUAUUGAAGACUAACUUCUGCGAAAGCAUUUGCCAAGGAUGUUUUCAUUAAUCAAGAACGAAAGUUAGGGGAUCGAAGACGAUCAGAUACCGUCGUAGUCUUAACCAUAAACUAUGCCGACUAGGGAUCGGACGAUGUUAAUUUUUUAAUGACUCGUUCGGCGCCUUACGGGAAAC
Molecule: ribosomal RNA, 551 nt
Filed under: uncultured Acaulosporaceae
Lineage: Eukaryota; Fungi; Glomeromycota; Glomeromycetes; Diversisporales; Acaulosporaceae
Description: SSU rRNA
Rfam family: Eukaryotic small subunit ribosomal RNA
Source: RNAcentral